UGGGUGAUGGCUGGGUGACG
RNAcentral lists this unclassified non-coding RNA (20 nucleotides) under Chlamydomonas reinhardtii. RNAcentral describes it as "small RNA Cre_3415". Lineage: Eukaryota; Viridiplantae; Chlorophyta; Chlorophyceae; Chlamydomonadales; Chlamydomonadaceae. The record is from RNAcentral.